Pyrgilauda ruficollis (rufous-necked snowfinch) is the source of this 5002-nucleotide RNA transcript. It is a transcript of the gene named interaction protein for cytohesin exchange factors 1, with no coding region annotated. The transcript is spliced from 10 exons. NCBI's taxonomy places the organism in Eukaryota, Metazoa, Chordata, Aves, Passeriformes, Passeridae. The record is from RefSeq and is a predicted model, not a curated record.
CUUGGGGGGGUGAGGAUUUUGUACUGCUACUCAUCUGGUGAAAAGCUGCUUUUUAACUCCAUUGAUUCUUACACCGAUUCUGAGAAAAAUGACAACGGGCUGUUCCUUUGGACUAAAUCCUUGUGGGUUCUUUAUAAUGAGCCGACGGAGGAUAUCAUGCAAAGAGCUGGGGCAAGCCGAUUGCCAAGGAUGGCUCUACAAAAAGAAGGAAAAAGGAGCGUUCAUUGGCAACAAAUGGAAAAAGUUCUGGUGUGUGCUAAAGGAGUCAUCGCUGUAUUGGUACAGCAGUCAGCUGGCUGAAAAAGCAGAAGGAUUCAUAAGACUUCCAGACUUCAGUGUGGAUCGAGCAAUUGAAUGCAAAAAAAAGCAUGCUAUUAAGAUCAGCCACCCACAGAUCAAGACAUUUUAUUUUGCGGCAGAAAAUGUUCUGGAAAUGAACACGUGGCUAAGUAAGCUGGGAAUGGCUGUAGACCCUCAGGCACCAAACAGGAAGAACGAAGAAGAAUGCUACAGUGAAAGUGAACAUGAUGAUCCAGACAUCACAGACACGCCACCUCCUCCCUACACAGUCCAGACCCCACCACCUCCUUCGCAGGAUCAGCAGAAGUCAUCAUUCACCUCAACUCUGUCAAGUGAAGCAUCUUGUUCUCUCUCCUCUCCUGAAAGCACUUUCAAUUCCCAAGAAUCAUCGUCUUCCUUGACAUCCAAAGUGGUUUGUUCCGAGAGGCAGUCCUGGCUUGACCUGGUUAACAGCUCUGCCACGGAAGAGGGUGAUCAGCCUUUAACGUUCUGCGUACAGAUUCAUUCCGACGAGGCACCAGAAGCGGUCUGUGCAGAUGCAGCAGAAAGCCAGGAAGUCCGGCUUUCUGAACCCAAUGGUGGAUCCCAAACCUCUUACUUAAGUGCAGAUACACAUUGUCUAGCUGUGUCAGAUGCAACAGGACAGCGAUCACUAGCCAGAGACCAGGAAAAGUGUGAUGAUGAUGAUGAGAUGGAGCGACUUUACAAGUCAUUGGAGCAAGCAAGCCUGUCUCCCAUUGGUGAUCGUCGGCUGUCAACUAAGAAGGAGCUUAGGAAGUCAUUUAUCAAGCGCAGCAAAAACCCCUCCAUUAAUGAGAAACUCCACAAAAUUCGAAUGCUAAACAGUACAUUAAAGUGUAAGGAGCAUGACCUGGCCACAAUCAACCAGUUGCUAGAGGACCCAAAGUUGACAGCGGUGAAGUACAGAGAGUGGAGGAGCACAAACAUCAUGCUGGUCCAAGAUAUUUAUCAGCAGCAGGAGGUCCAGGACAUGUCCACAGAGAAUAGUGAAGAGCAAGAAAUGACUCCACGGCCAGUCACUGAAAGUGCUAUUUGAUCAAUGGCACAUGGCAAGAUUUUUCUCCACUGGUCUUCACAUACAUACAAUUUAAACUGCUGUAUCUUGAGGAUUGUUUUUUGUGAGUGUGCUUCAAAAGGAAAACAACCCAUUCUCCAAAGUUUUAAAUGCUUCUGCAGAAGUCAUUUAAUGUCAAAUGGGCAAUUUCCCCAAACUUGCCCAAGUUGCCCAAAAAAGCACGCCUGAAUGUGGCCUGCAUACAUAAGAUUAUUUAACAAAGCAGCAAAGAAACGUUUUUCAGUUUUUGGAGAAGAAAAUUAUAAGUGUCCAGCUUCUGGAGGACACAGAACUAUGUAAUAUGUACUGUAUAAAUAUGAGAUCCUUGGGAUUGUUUUAACCAUACAACUUACCAUGAAAUGAAGCUAACAUGAUCCCAACAGGAGGUAGUCUACUCUACCUUUUUACCCUUAAGGUAACUCAAUGUAUACAUUUUCAUCUCUGUACCCAUUUACUUUCACCACUCAACCAGUUUAAACAGAGACAAAUGGAAGAGUAAUUAUGAAUGAGUUGAUACUGUAGACAGCUGCCAGGCACCCAGUUUGGGCUCUGCCUGAUGUUUUAUGAGUUUCAAAUUUAUUUAUGGUCCAGACCAAGAAGGUACUGUCUUUCUACAUGAAGAAGAGAUCUCUAAGGUUUUGCUAACAUGUAAUUUACUCUUCAGUGAGACAAGAUUCAACUUUUCUUAUGGACUUGGCAGAAUUCCUCGGAAGAUUAUGUUCUUCUUUCUUAUUUUUGACAAUUGGGAGUAUAUAAGGUACAAGUUCAUCCCAGAGUCCAGCUUAAGGAAGGUGAUCAUAUUCACAAGCCAGAAGCUAAAUGACUCAACUCCUAAUGUGGACCUGGAAGUGUAAAACAGAGCUGCAAAUAUUUUUGAAAACAAAUGUAUGGGUUUAUGCAAGUACUGUGCAGGAAGUCUAACUCCACUCUCUUCAGCUACUACUUGGACUCAAAAUAAUGGAAAGCGUGGAAAAUGCAAAAUGAAAAUUGCAGAGGAACAGGAUUAAUUUUCUGGCAUUGCUAAUUACUGUGACAUUUUUUGCCUGGGUUUAUCACAAGGGGCUGCCCAGCAGCAUGAAAGCCAUAAUCAGAGACAGAAUUACGCACAAGCUGACAGCUACAGUGGGGAGCCACCUCAACAGGAGAAAUUUGGACAAGUCUGUGCUCUGCUCAGUGAUGCUUGGAGUAACUGGUAUUUCUCGGCCUGAAUUUGGAAGACCUGCACUAUUGACUCAUAGCACAGGGAGCUGUGCAUCCCUAGUGUGUGAAUGUCAAGAAGUCUUCAGCCAUCUGCCUCAAGGGACAUGUUUUAUAUACAUUUUUGGGAGAAAGUAUGUGUGUGUGGAUAUGUGCACAUGCACAAUUUUCCUUCUGUCAGUAAAGCCAGCUGGUGCAGAAAGUCCAGCAAUGGAGAUUUUGGAAUUCCUGGUAACAAUAUCUAAUUUCAACUGUUUCUGCAGCUUUUCUGGAAAUCGAAUCUCUGUUCUGGCAGUGUACAUCUCAUGAGAUACCAGAAUGAGGUGGGAUCACAUUUCCUUUCCUAUGAUGGAAGAGAUUUCAUGUGGGGAUUGUGAAUAUUUUACAUCUAGCUCUGAUGAUUCAAUCAAUACUAGGGUUUCACCUUGUCAUGGUUUUAAGUGCAGAUGGAGAUGAAACACCAUGCAGUUGCUUGCUCAGCCCCCCUCUCUUUUCCUUCCCCAUCCCUGUGUAAUGGGGAGUAGAAUUGAAGUAAAAAUUGUAGGCAGAGACAAGAAAGGUUUUAUAAUUUAAAAUAAAGUAAAAUAUAACAAUAAUGGUAAAUAAUGAUAAUGAUAAGGAAAGAAGCCCAAGCAAGUGAUAUACAAUGCAAUUGCUCAUCACCCACUGCCAGACCCCUCUUCCCAAACUCAGAUCAGGCCCCCCUCACAGGUAGCUCCCCCCAGUUUAUUUACUCGGUAUGGCAUUUAAAACUCCGUGGAAAUUCAGAAUUUAAAAUUAUUUCUAACUUCGAAAAAUUAUGGGUGUGUUACAUCUAUUGUGUGAGCCUGUAAGCUUACAUGUCUCUUACAGAUUUAAUAUGAAAAACGUGCAUUUUUAAACUUUUCAAGUAGCAAAGGAGCCCAUGAAAGCAUACUUUUAUGAGGGGAACUCCGUGUGCUGUGAUUGGCUUUUGGGCUUUGGCCCUUUUUUUCACUCUUUUGCUUGUUUAGUCAUACAAAAGUAGCCAAUUGUAACCAACUGUACCCAAGUGAGGGCCUGAGUUUACUUCACUUAUAUGAGACAUGCCUUUCUGCUAACAGGAAGCCAAAGUGGUUUUCUUGUAGUAGUACAGCCCAAGUGGAAUUUCCUGUUUUGUGCGAGGUGUUCAAAGCAGCAGACAUUUUAAGAUGUCAGUGAGCAUUUCCUUGAUGCUUGAAGAUUCGUCCCAUUUUGGUUUGCUUCAAGCUGCAACAUUAUUGCAUUUUUUAAAAACUGCCUUCAAUCUGAACUGAAAGAAAAUUUGAGGUGGAAAAAGGAAAAUAGAACAGAAAAAAGCUUGGAGCUAAGAUCAUGCUGAAAUUCACAUCUCUGCAUAGGGUAGUAGGAGCUGAGCUUGCCAAAAUCUAAGCAUUUCAACAUUGAAAAAAAUUGUAAGGUGUUGAAAAGAGUACUACAUUCCUUGAAAUUUGCUAUGGGAGAAGUUCCAAGACCUGUCUGGUCUGGAAAAAUGAAUAUUUUCCUAAUUUAUUUCCUCCUGAUAAAAAUCCAGAGGGGGUGGUUUAUAAGAUGGCAGCAAGUUAAAGAUGAAAGAUGCAUGUAAUUCAUUGAUAGCUCAACAACCUUGAUGUAUGAUCUGGAAAUGGUUGACUUUAGAUGACUCAGCUUGUAACACUCAGCCUGUAAAAUCCAUUUCUUUGGGAAAGCAUUGUAGCUACCAGUGUCUGGAGCUUAUGUACCCUAUCUGGUCCACAUGAGAUUAAUUUUGAAGAUGUAGGUGAAUGGCCUUUCUAUAGGGCAAAUAGUUUGUAUCAUCAUGCCAUAGCUUAGGAACCACUCCCUGUGUCCUAGAUGCCUUAACAGCUGCCCAGAUUAUUCUGACUCUUGAAGCUGCUUAUGGCAGUUUUAUCUUCUCCCAACUAAAAAUGAAAAGAGGAUAUGAAAGCACAUCUCCCACUCCCACAUGAAGAAAAACUAGCACUAGUCUGGCAGAAAUUAAUGUAAGUCACCUUAUUUAUGAAUGUUUACCAAAAUAACUCACCUGGUGAAAAGCCAUUUGUGCACACAAAUAGCAGUGCUCUUGUGCCAAGCUUUCAGUGCUGAAGACUGGCCCAAAGGAAGAACGGAUGUAUCUAUCCCACUGUGCUCUGUAUAGAGAGGAAAUUUCAUGUACAGAAGAAGAUUUACAAGGACUUCUCUCAGGCAUUGGCAGGGCCUGCAGCACCACAAAAGUACAUGGGAUUCAAAUUCAGUAUUUUAUCUGCUCAGUCUUUUUUCUUUUUUUUUUUUUUUUCACUAGUUUAAAACUCACAGCACAAUGUUGCACUCAGCACUGCCUUUUUACUGCUUGUUGCCUACACGUGUGAAUUGAUUUUCAUGGAAUGAUACACACAUCUUGCAGAAUGAGAGCCUUAUGUUUGCACUUGUCAAUUAAACACUGAAAUGAGAGAA